This 1553-nucleotide ribosomal RNA is filed under the name Salmonella enterica subsp. enterica serovar Takoradi. RNAcentral describes it as "partial 23S ribosomal RNA". It matches the Rfam family "Bacterial large subunit ribosomal RNA", at positions 711 to 2163 of the family's 2925-position model. Lineage: Bacteria; Pseudomonadati; Pseudomonadota; Gammaproteobacteria; Enterobacterales; Enterobacteriaceae. The record is from RNAcentral.
AGACCCGAAACCCGGUGAUCUAGCCAUGGGCAGGUUGAAGGUUGGGUAACACUAACUGGAGGACCGAACCGACUAAUGUUGAAAAAUUAGCGGAUGACCUGUGGCUGGGGGUGAAAGGCCAAUCAAACCGGGAGAUAGCUGGUUCUCCCCGAAAGCUAUUUAGGUAGCGCCUCGUGAACUCAUCUCCGGGGGUAGAGCACUGUUUCGGCUAGGGGGCCAUCCCGGCUUACCAACCCGAUGCAAACUGCGAAUACCGGAGAAUGUUAUCACGGGAGACACACGGCGGGUGCUAACGUCCGUCGUGAAGAGGGAAACAACCCAGACCGCCAGCUAAGGUCCCAAAGUCAUGGUUAAGUGGGAAACGAUGUGGGAAGGCCCAGACAGCCAGGAUGUUGGCUUAGAAGCAGCCAUCAUUUAAAGAAAGCGUAAUAGCUCACUGGUCGAGUCGGCCUGCGCGGAAGAUGUAACGGGGCUAAACCAUGCACCGAAGCUGCGGCAGCGAACGUAUCACUUAAAGCGAUUCAGCGGGUUACGAUUGACGGAGCGAAGCGACGUCAAAGCGUAUACAAAGUCGAGUCGGUUUAAGGAUACGUUCGUUGGGUAGGGGAGCGUUCUGUAAGCCUGUGAAGGUGGCCUGUGAGGGUUGCUGGAGGUAUCAGAAGUGCGAAUGCUGACAUAAGUAACGAUAAAGCGGGUGAAAAGCCCGCUCGCCGGAAGACCAAGGGUUCCUGUCCAACGUUAAUCGGGGCAGGGUGAGUCGACCCCUAAGGCGAGGCCGAAAGGCGUAGUCGAUGGGAAACGGGUUAAUAUUCCCGUACUUGGUGUUACUGCGAAGGGGGGACGGAGAAGGCUAUGUUGGCCGGGCGACGGUUGUCCCGGUUUAAGCGUGUAGGUGUGUGUUCCAGGUAAAUCCGGUUCACUUUAACACUGAGGCGUGAUGACGAGGCACUACGGUGCUGAAGCAACAAAUGCCCUGCUUCCAGGAAAAGCCUCUAAGCAUCAGGUAACAUCAAAUCGUACCCCAAACCGACACAGGUGGUCAGGUAGAGAAUACCAAGGCGCUUGAGAGAACUCGGGUGAAGGAACUAGGCAAAAUGGUGCCGUAACUUCGGGAGAAGGCACGCUGACACGUAGGUGAAGUGAUUUACUCACGGAGCUGAAGUCAGUCGAAGAUACCAGCUGGCUGCAACUGUUUAUUAAAAACACAGCACUGUGCAAACACGAAAGUGGACGUAUACGGUGUGACGCCUGCCCGGUGCCGGAAGGUUAAUUGAUGGGGUCAGCGCAAGCGAAGCUCCUGAUCGAAGCCCCGGUAAACGGCGGCCGUAACUAUAACGGUCCUAAGGUAGCGAAAUUCCUUGUCGGGUAAGUUCCGACCUGCACGAAUGGCGUAAUGAUGGCCAGGCUGUCUCCACCCGAGACUCAGUGAAAUUGAACUCGCUGUGAAGAUGCAGUGUACCCGCGGCAAGACGGAAAGACCCCGUGAACCUUUACUAUAGCUUGACACUGAACAUUGAGCCUUGAUGUGUAGGAUAGGUGGGAGGCUUUGAAGU